GAUGAACGCUGGCGGCGUGCCUAAUACAUGCAAGUAGAACGCACAGUUUAUACCGUAGCUUGCUACACCAUAGACUGUGAGUUGCGAACGGGUGAGUAACGCGUAGGUAACCUGCCUGGUAGCGGGGGAUAACUAUUGGAAACGAUAGCUAAUACCGCAUAAUAUUAAUUAUUGCAUGAUAAUUAAUUGAAAGGUGCAAUUGCACCACUACCAGAUGGACCUGCGUUGUAUUAGCUAGUAGGUGAGGUAACGGCUCACCUAGGCGACGAUACAUAGCCGACCUGAGAGGGUGAUCGGCCACACUGGGACUGAGACACGGCCCAGACUCCUACGGGAGGCAGCAGUAGGGAAUCUUCGGCAAUGGACGAAAGUCUGACCGAGCAACGCCGCGUGAGUGAAGAAGGUUUUCGGAUCGUAAAGCUCUGUUGUAAGAGAAGAACGGGUGUGAGAGUGGAAAGUUCACACUGUGACGGUAUCUUACCAGAAAGGGACGGCUAAUUACGUG
This 505-nucleotide ribosomal RNA is filed under the name uncultured bacterium. Its description in RNAcentral is "partial 16S ribosomal RNA". It matches the Rfam family "Bacterial small subunit ribosomal RNA", at positions 28 to 507 of the family's 1533-position model. The record is from RNAcentral.